This 632-nucleotide long non-coding RNA is filed under the name Physcomitrium patens. RNAcentral's name for it is "long non-coding RNA (PPAT_LNC008450)". Lineage: Eukaryota; Viridiplantae; Streptophyta; Bryopsida; Funariales; Funariaceae. The record is from RNAcentral.
CAAAUCCUAAUCAAUGAGCUUUAAUAAGCUGUAACAUCUAAUUUGACCAUCUACUUUAUGUAAAAUUUUGCAUGCAAUUGUCAAUGUAAUUCUUCUAUAUAUUCAAGAAUUUUCAAUCCAAUCCAACCUACAGAUUGUGAGAAAACCUCCAAAAAUUGUACUAAUGUUACUCGGCUGCCAACUUGAAAAGUGAAGCAAAAAUCCCAAUAGUGAUUUCUCUUUCUCCAACUAUUAACUUUAACUCAAAAUUGGUUUGCAGCUUGAUCUUUAAGUCCUUCAAUAUCAUGCCAAAUUUCACCUUGAUCCAACUAAUAGAUCUCCAAAUAUCACAAAAACCCUACUCAACCUCAAACUGCCAACUUCUGAAACCCUCUUGUACUAAAAACCAAAUAUCUUUUAACAACGCCGUUAGAUUAUCACAAAAUUUUGUAUAUACUUAGCACACUUAAUAAUCCAAAUAGUAACAAAUUUUGAACUAUAGAUGCUACACCAAUUGCACGAAUUAACCAAAAUUGUUAGCCCUAAUUAUUUUAUAUAAAAUCCAAAUCACCAAUACAAACCUUGACUUUGAAUAAUAAUUAAUAAGUCCUCAAAAAUCCUCCAAAAACAAUCCUUAUGCCUUUGAAAAGAGC